AUUCCGGGUGCUCCGUCCUCCACCGAAGACCAUCGCUGUGCCGCGGGAAAUCUCUCUUCCUCGCCUUCUCUUAGCUUGGCGGCAUAAGCCCCGCACCUUGCUCCUCACAGCUGCCCUUCAAGUCCGGGAAGACUCACCAUCACUGGACCAAGGAAGAUUUUUCCUUAUUUCCAAUAUGAUUAUCAAUUAAAACAUCUUUCCAAUUAUUUCUAUGGAUUUGGGGUAACAGCAAUUAGAAACAUUGGCAAGCACCUGGGAACUACAACAGAAAUGUAAAAGUGUCAAAAGAUUGGAGAAGAGAAAUCUCACAGCAGUUCUGGGUAAUCAGAGAAGGUCUAACUGACAAGAAACCGUGCUGUGCUUGGCUGAUGCAGGAUUCCCAGGAGCUCUCCAUUCAGGAGUAAAUGAGGCGCUCACCUGAGAAGAACCCCUUUCUGCAAAGCAGCCGUGGAUGGCACUGUCUGGGGCAGAAUCCGGGAUGGCUGGAUGCACUCUCCCUUAACGUGAUCAGAGGUUCCAGAGGGAAUGGAUGUGCUUUCUCUGUUUGAAAAUGUUAAUUCAGAUUUGGUGAGUGGGUUUGCAAUUCUGCUGGGAAAGGCCACUGUGAGACAGGUCAAACAAUGCUCUUCUGGCUCAAAUGGCCUUCCCCUCCUCUCCACCUGGUCCAUCCUUUUGUCUCUUAGAACUCAGAGAAGAUGUGCUUUCUUCCUGCACUGUGAUUAUCUGCAGCUUCACUCACAUACCUAUCUGACCAGUCUCCAGACUCAUCACUUCCUUGUCUACGGAUCCAUUCACGUCUGCUCAUUUCCCUCCCUUCCUGUUCCCUCUGUCCAGCCUUGGGCUGUCAUGUCUGUCACCUGAUUUGCCUUAAUUCCCAUGUCUCUCAUUCUGACCCUGCAAUCCUGCCUCUACCUGUGGAAAUCUAUGUCACAGCUUGGUUUAAAUCUCUUACAUGUAACUUUCAGAAAAAUUUGAAAAUCCCGAUGAGGCAAAAACAAACCAAAAGAAAGCAUAAAAUAACAAGCAUGAGAAAUCUUUCCAUCCAGAUAUAGCAAAUGUAACUGCAGAGAUUUCUAGGCCUUAUUUUCUAUUUACAUGCAUAUUUUUUUUCCAAAG
Manis javanica (Malayan pangolin) is the source of this 1116-nucleotide long non-coding RNA. RefSeq lists it as uncharacterized. NCBI's taxonomy places the organism in Eukaryota, Metazoa, Chordata, Mammalia, Pholidota, Manidae. The record is from RefSeq and is a predicted model, not a curated record.